Molecule: ribosomal RNA, 421 nt
Filed under: Elphidium sp. S13
Lineage: Eukaryota; Foraminifera; Rotaliida; Elphidiidae
Description: SSU rRNA
Rfam family: Eukaryotic small subunit ribosomal RNA
Source: RNAcentral
GACUCACGCGGGAAUCUUACCGGGUCCGGACACACUGAGGAUUGACAGGUUCCGAGAGAUUUUUGCAUUUGCAGAUUCUCUCUUAAAUAUGCUAGUCCUUUCAUGAUUAUGUGAUAGGUGGUGCAUGGCCGUUCUUAGUUCGUGGAGUGAUCUGUCUGCUUAAUUGCGUUUCACUAAAGGCGUCAUAUCAUUUUUGUGCUUGUGUUUGACCCCUCUUUUCGGAGAGCGCGUGUCUUCACACACAAUUACCUUGGCGUCUGAAAGCAACGAACGUGACCGUAACCUCUUGUUGCCUUCUUUUCUUUAUUGAAUGCUGUUUCAUUCUCUUUUGGGAGUGCUCAGUAUAUGGAGGCUUUUUUUACCAACAACUAGAGGGACCGCUGUUACUUUCUUUAAACCAGAGGAAGGUUGCGGCAAUAAC